UCCUGGUUUGCACUCUCCCUCAUCUGGUCAUUUCUUGUGUUGGGCUUCCUUCAUUAGCUGACAUAGCUUGAGUGUGGCAAAUGUCAAGAGCUUGCUUACAUAUUGCAAGAAUUACAAGCUGAAUUGAGAAUGCUUCUAGUUGCCUACAUGCCUUAAUCUUUUCAGAGGAGAAACAAUUUCAGUAUUUGAACAUCUUUUCAGAGGAGAAACAAUUUCAGUAUUUGAACAUCGAACAUAUCAGCAAUAUUCAUAAAACAAUAGAAUCAGCACCAAAUAUGUACUAUUUGAAAUUUGAAGUUAUCAGAAAUGUUCAUAAAACAAUAGAAUCAGCACCAAAUAUGUACUAUUUGAAAUUUGAAGUUAUC
This 365-nucleotide long non-coding RNA is filed under the name Actinidia chinensis (golden kiwifruit). RNAcentral's name for it is "long non-coding RNA (ACHI_LNC007731)". The record is from RNAcentral. Lineage: Eukaryota; Viridiplantae; Streptophyta; Magnoliopsida; Ericales; Actinidiaceae.